GACGAACGCUGGCGGCGUGCUUAACACAUGCAAGUCGAACGGAAUCCAUGGUGUAGCAAUACACCGGAAGAUUUAGUGGCGAACGGGUGAGGAUCACGUGAGAUCCGUGCCCCAGACUCUGGGAUAACAAUUGGAAACGAUUGCUAAUACCGGAUGACGUCGGAGAAUCGCAUGAUUCACUGACGAAAGAUAUUUCGGUUUGGGAGCGUCUCGCGGCCUAUCAGCUUGUUGGUGGGGUAAUGGCCUACCAAGGCAACGACGGGUAGCUGGUCUGAGAGGAUGAUCAGCCACACUGGGACUGAGACACGGCCCAGACUCCUACGGGAGGCAGCAGUGGGGAAUCUUGCGCAAUGGGCGAAAGCCUGACGCAGCAACGCCGCGUGCGGGAUGAAGGCCUUCGGGCUGUAAACCGCUUUCAGCAGGAACGAAAAUGACGGUACCUGCAGAAGAAGGAGCGGCCAACUACGUGCCAGCAGCCGCGGUGACACGUAGGCUCCAAGCGUUGUCCGGAUUUAUUGGGCGUAAAGAGCUCGUAGGCGGUUGAGUAAGUCGGGUGUGAAAACUCUGGGCUUAACCCGGAGACGCCAUCCGAUACUGCUCUGACUAGAGUUCAGGAGGGGAGUGGGGAAUUCCUAGUGUAGCGGUGAAAUGCGCAGAUAUUAGGAGGAACACCGGUGGCGAAGGCGCCACUCUGGACUGAAACUGACGUAVVNGG
Molecule: ribosomal RNA, 715 nt
Filed under: uncultured bacterium
Lineage: Bacteria
Description: bacterial SSU rRNA
Rfam family: Bacterial small subunit ribosomal RNA
Source: RNAcentral